Molecule: RNA transcript, 3743 nt
Organism: Ictidomys tridecemlineatus (thirteen-lined ground squirrel)
Lineage: Eukaryota; Metazoa; Chordata; Mammalia; Rodentia; Sciuridae
Gene: Mfhas1
Gene name: multifunctional ROCO family signaling regulator 1
Source: RefSeq, a predicted model, not a curated record
CCCCGCCAUGGCUGGGAAGGACAGUGGCAACCUGAAGACGGUGAGGUUGUGGCGGGACGCCGCCCUUCGCGCCAGGAAGCUGAGGAGCAACCUGCGACAGCUAACCCUUAGCGCGGCUGGGGGCUGCCCCGGGGCCGGAGCCGGAGCGGAUCCGCUCGAGUCCCCAGACGCUCCCCAGCUAGUGCUGCCAGCCAACAUCGGGGACAUCGAGGUGCUGAACCUAGGGAACAACGGCCUGGAGGAGGUGCCUGAAGGGCUGGGGUCGGCGCUUGGCAGCCUACGCGUCCUGGUCCUGCGCAGGAACCGCUUUGCCCGGCUGCCCCCUGCGGUGGCCGAGCUUGGCCACCAUCUCACGGAACUGGACUUGAGCCACAAUCGGCUGACAGCCCUGGGCGCGGAGGUGGUGAGUGCCCUAAGGGAGCUGCGCAAGCUAAACCUCAGCCAUAACCAGCUGCCUGCUCUGCCCUCCCAGCUGGGCGUCCUGGCCCACCUGGAGGAGCUGGAUGUUAGCUUCAACCGACUGGCGCACCUGCCCGACUCACUCUCUUGCCUCUACCGCCUGCGCACCCUCGAUGUGGACCACAACCAGCUCACUGCCUUUCCCCGGCAGCUGCUGCAACUGGCGGCCCUGGAGGAACUGGACGUGUCCAGCAACCGGCUGAAAGGCCUACCUGAUGAUAUCAGUGCCCUGCGUGCCCUCAAGAUCCUCUGGCUGAGUGGGGCCGAGCUUGGCACUCUGCCCAUCGGCUUCUGCGAGCUGACCAGUUUGGAGAGCCUCAUGCUAGACAACAACGGGCUGCAGGAUCUGCCCACCCAGUUCAGCCAGCUGCAAAGACUCAAAAUGCUCAAUCUCUCUUCCAACCACUUUGAGGAGUUCCCUGCAGCUCUGCUGCCCCUGGCUGGUCUGGAGGAGCUUUACCUUAGUCGCAAUCAGCUCACCUCAGUGCCAUCCCUUAUCUCGGGGCUGGGAAGGCUUCUCACUCUGUGGCUGGAUAAUAACCGCAUCCGAUACCUGCCCGACUCCAUUGUGGAACUGACCGGCCUGGAGGAGCUGGUGCUGCAAGGGAACCAGAUAGCGGUGCUUCCUGACAACUUUGGCCAGCUCUCCCAUGUGGGAUUGUGGAAGAUCAAGGACAACCCACUGAUACAGCCCCCUUACGAGGUCUGCAUGAAGGGGAUCCCCUACAUCGCGGCCUACCAGAAGGAGCUGGCUCAUUCCCAGCCAGCCGUGCAGCCCCGUCUCAAGCUGCUCCUGAUGGGGCAUAAGGCUGCAGGAAAGACCUUGCUCCGACACUGCCUCACCGAGGAGAUAGUGGAGGGAAGCCAUGCAGGAGGGGACAAACAGAAGAACUACUCACCUUCCCCUCCUGCCAGUAGCAAGGGUAUUGAGGUGACCAGCUGGACAGCUGAUGCCUCCAGGGGUCUGAGGUUCAUCGUGUAUGAUUUAGCUGGUGAUGAAAGCUAUGAGGUGAUCCAGCCCUUCUUUCUCUCUCCAGGAGCCCUGUAUGUGCUGGUAGUCAACUUGGCCACCUAUGAACCACGCCGCUUUCCCAGUACUGUGGGCUCCUUCUUGCAUCGGGUGGGGGCCCGGGUACCUCAUGCUGUGGUGUGCAUUGUGGGCACGCAUGCAGACCUAUGUGAGGAUCGGGAGCUGGAGGAGAAGUGUCUGGAUAUUCACCGCCAGAUUGCCCUGCAGGAGAAGCACGAUGCCGAGGGCCUGAGCCGUCUAGCCCGGGUGGUGGAUGAGGCCUUGGCCCGGGACUUCGAGCUGCGCUCUGCCAGCCCCCAUGCAGCCUACUAUGGUGUUUCUGACAAGAACCUUCGUCGACGCAAGGCCCAUUUCCAAUACCUGCUCAACCACCGGCUGCAGAUCCUCUCUCCGGUAUUGCCUGUUAGCUGCAGGGACCCCCGCCAAUUGCAGCGCCUUCGGGACAAGCUGCUUUCUGUAGCUGAGCACCGAGAAAUCUUCCCCAACUUACAUAGAGUCCUGCCGCGAUCCUGGCAGGUGCUGGAGGAACUGCAUUUCCAACCACCACAGGCACAACGACUUUGGCUAAGCUGGUGGGACUCUGCACGCCUGGGCCUGCAGGCAGGGCUGACCGAGGACCGACUGCAGAGUGCUCUUUCCUACUUGCAUGAGAGUGGCAAGCUGCUCUACUUUGAGGAUAGCCCGGCCCUCAAGGAGCACGUCUUCCACAACCUCACCCGCCUCAUUGACAUCCUCAAUGUCUUUUUCCAGAGGGAUGCUUCCUUGCUGCUGCAUAAACUGCUACUAGGGACCAGUGGAGAGAGUGAGGGGGAGGGGGAAAGCUCCCCAGUGAUGUCGCUGCCCACCCAGAGCCAGGACCUGCUCCGGGCCACCCAGCUCCAUCACUAUGUGGAGGGCUUUCUGCUGCAUAGGCUCCUGCCAGCCCAUGUCAUUCAGUUGCUGCUUAAGCCUCAUAUCCAGGCUCAGCAGGACUUGCAGCUGCUGCUGGAGCUGCUGGAGAAGAUGGGACUCUGUUACUGCCUCAAUAAACCCAAGGGCAAGCCUUUGAAUGGGUCCACAGCUUGGUACAAGUUCCCAUGCUAUGUGCAGAACGAGGUGCCCCAUGCAGAGGCAUGGAUUAAUGGGACCAACCUAGCGGGGCAGUCUUUUGUGGCUGAGCAGCUGCAGAUUGAAUAUAGUUUUCCCUUUACCUUUCCACCUGGGUUGUUUGCACGCUACAGUGUCCAGAUCAACAGCCAUGUGGUGCACAGGUCAGAUGGUAAAUUUCAGAUCUUUGCAUAUAGAGGAAAAGUUCCUGUGGUGGUGAGUUACAGACCUGCCAAGGGGGUUCUGCAACCAGAUACCCUGUCCAUUGCCAGCCAUGCAUCAUUACCAAAUAUAUGGACCGCAUGGCAAGCCAUCACCCCCUUGGUAGAGGAACUGAAUGUCCUACUUCAGGAAUGGCCUGGACUGCACUACACCGUGCACAUCCUCUGUUCUAAGUGCCUUAAGAGGGGGUCGCCCAAUCCACACGCUUUCCCAGGGGAAUUGCUGAGCCAGCCCAGACCAGAAGGAGUGGCAGAAAUCAUUUGCCCCAAGAACGGCAGCGAGCGAGUGAAUGUUGCCUUGGUUUACCCACCUACGCCGACUGUGAUCAGCCCCUGUUCCAAGUACCUUCAUACUUUCUUGGAAAAUUAAGUGGAAAAGAUAGUGCUUCUUUCCCUUAUGCCAUCAUUUUUACUGUACCCAAUCUGUGACUUUAGGAGCACCAAGUAUUAAGGGAAGAACGUUGGUGAAAAGCACAGAAACCAGUGACUUGUGGACUGUGGGAUUUCCAUGGAGAAAAUAGAGCAUCACCACUCACCUGGGAACCCUCUGCACCUCCAAGCACAGGCUGGGCACUGGAGUGAAGACCAGCUCAGGGUGCUUCCAGAGGACCACCGCAGAGGUCUGGAGGGGGCGGAGGAAGGACAGAGAGAGCAUGGAGCUAAAGUUUCACAACCGGAACCUCAGAACUGUGAUCCUCCAAGGAGAGCGCUACUUGAAGAAAAGAAAAAAAAAAUAAGUCGAAUGGCUUCUCAGGGAUUUUGUUUUCCGUGCACAUAUAAGCCAUAGUUACAGUACAGUGGCAGUAUUUAGAGCACUCGGGUUUCAGUUCUGUUCAAUGUGAAAGAGGAAUCAACUGACAUUCAUUGCUGUUCCGUAACUAGUGUAAAAUAUGUAUAUGUUUAUCUUUAUUUUUAUAAUAUGCAAAUACAUUUAAAUUUAUACCGUU